CGCGGAGUGGAGCAGUUGGUAGCUCGACGGGCUCAUAACCCGUAGGUCGUGGGUUCAAAUCCCUCCUCCGCAACCA
RNAcentral lists this transfer RNA (76 nucleotides) under Clostridiales bacterium. RNAcentral's name for it is "tRNA-Met". It matches the Rfam family "tRNA". Rfam says of the family: Transfer RNA (tRNA) molecules are approximately 80 nucleotides in length. Their secondary structure includes four short double-helical elements and three loops (D, anti-codon, and T loops). The record is from RNAcentral. Lineage: Bacteria; Bacillati; Bacillota; Clostridia; Eubacteriales.